Molecule: ribosomal RNA, 354 nt
Filed under: Escherichia coli
Lineage: Bacteria; Pseudomonadati; Pseudomonadota; Gammaproteobacteria; Enterobacterales; Enterobacteriaceae
Description: bacterial SSU rRNA
Rfam family: Bacterial small subunit ribosomal RNA
Source: RNAcentral
GUGAGAAUCCUGCAGAGAUGCGGGAGUGCCUUCGGGAAUUCACAUACAGGUGCUGCAUGGCUGUCGUCAGCUCGUGUCGUGAGAUGUUGGGUUAAGUCCCGCAACGAGCGCAACCCUUUUCCUUAUUUGCCAGCGGGUUAAGCCGGGAACUUUAAGGAUACUGCCAGUGACAAACUGGAGGAAGGCGGGGACGACGUCAAGUCAUCAUGGCCCUUACGACCAGGGCUACACACGUGCUACAAUGGUAGGUACAGAGGGUUGCUACACAGCGAUGUGAUGCUAAUCUCAAAAAGCCUAUCGUAGUCCGGAUUGGAGUCUGCAACUCGACUCCAUGAAGUCGGAAUCGCUAGUAAU